UACGUAGGGGGCAAGCGUUGUCCGGAAUCAUUGGGCGUAAAGCGCGCGUAGGCGGCCCUGUAAGUCCGUUGUGAAAGUCGAAGGCUCACCUUCGAAAAGCCGAUGGAUACUGCAGGGCUAGAGUCCGGAAGAGGCGAGUGGAAUUCCUGGUGUAGCGGUGGAAUGCGCAGACGUAUCAGGAGGAACACCGAUGGCGAAGGCAGGCUCUGGGCCAUUAACUGCGCUGAGGAGCGAAAGCAUGGGGAGCGAACAGG
This 254-nucleotide ribosomal RNA is filed under the name uncultured bacterium. RNAcentral describes it as "partial 16S ribosomal RNA". It matches the Rfam family "Bacterial small subunit ribosomal RNA", at positions 524 to 776 of the family's 1533-position model. The record is from RNAcentral.